CCGUGAAGUUGUGUUGCUGCCUCCUUGUAGGGCCUUCGUGCUUCAGGCAAGUGUUGAGUCAGAGCCCUUCUGACACAGCAGAUGCUGAAUGACAAGGAAACACACGUGGAGCCACCCAUGUCCACCUUCAGACUGUGUUUGCAAGUUGUUUGGCUGCACACAGUCCUCUCGGGAUUUCAAACAGCUAGUCUUCUGGAAAGAAAAGUGCAUGUCAGCUGGGUUACCUUCUGUAACAGCUUCAGGACCAGAGGACCUACCAGCAGACCUGGCUGUGCUUUCCCUCACUUUACAGCUCUCCAGAAGUGCACUGUGACCGGUGUGUGGGUGAGAUAAGCCUGUUCUUCACACUGUGCUGUUGUGCAAUCUGUCAGCAGAGGCUCAGGUGGGACCAGAACUGCAAACUGGAG
RNAcentral lists this long non-coding RNA (407 nucleotides) under Gallus gallus (chicken). Its description in RNAcentral is "long non-coding RNA NONGGAT005122". The record is from RNAcentral. Lineage: Eukaryota; Metazoa; Chordata; Aves; Galliformes; Phasianidae.